UACAGAGGGGGCAAGCGUUGUCCGGACUUACUGGGUGUAAAGCGCAUGCAGGUGGCUGUGCAAGUAUGCUGUGAAAGCCCCGUGCUUAACACGGGGAGGCCAGUAUAGACUGCACGGCUCGAGGACUGCAGAGGGUAGGGGAAUUGCUGGUGUAGUGGUGGAAUGCGCAGAUAUCAGGAGGAACACCGAUGGCGAAGGCAGAUCUCUGGGCCGUAACUGACGCUGAGGAGCGAAAGCAUGGGGAGCGAACAGG
RNAcentral lists this ribosomal RNA (253 nucleotides) under uncultured bacterium. RNAcentral describes it as "partial 16S ribosomal RNA". It matches the Rfam family "Bacterial small subunit ribosomal RNA", at positions 524 to 776 of the family's 1533-position model. The record is from RNAcentral.